GGUAAGGUGGUUCAGUGGUAGAGUGCUUGCCUUGCAUGCAUGAGGGCCUGGGUUCGAUUCCUCAGUACCA
RNAcentral lists this transfer RNA (70 nucleotides) under Dipodomys ordii (Ord's kangaroo rat). It matches the Rfam family "tRNA". Rfam says of the family: Transfer RNA (tRNA) molecules are approximately 80 nucleotides in length. Lineage: Eukaryota; Metazoa; Chordata; Mammalia; Rodentia; Heteromyidae. The record is from Rfam by way of RNAcentral.